Molecule: long non-coding RNA, 476 nt
Filed under: Medicago truncatula (barrel medic)
Lineage: Eukaryota; Viridiplantae; Streptophyta; Magnoliopsida; Fabales; Fabaceae
Description: long non-coding RNA (MTRU_LNC002035)
Source: RNAcentral
UCUUGACUGGAACAGGAGGAGGAAGAGGUUUAUGAUAUACAGGCGUAGGUGGAGGGAGAGGUUUAUGAUAAACAGGCACAGGUGGAGGAAGAGGUUUCUCAUACACAGGUGUAGGUGGAGGGAGAGGUUUAUGGUAAACAGGCACAGGCGGAGGAAGAGGUUUCUCGUAGACAGGUGUAGGUGGAGGAAGAGGUUUCUCAUAAACAGGUGUAGGAGGAGGGAUAGGUUUUUCAUAGAUAGGCACAGGUGGAGGACAAGGUUUCUUGUAGAUAGGAAUAUGAGGAAAGGGAGGUUUGUAAAUAGGAAUAUGAGAAAAUGGAGGUUUCUUGUAGAUAGGAACAGGAGGAAAAAGAGGGUGUUUAUGGAAAAUCUUUGGUGGAAAUGUUGGAAAAACUUUAGGGGGAAAUUGAGGUAAAUCAGGAUGAGGAAGCUUAGGAAAAAGAGGAUGUUUGAAGAGAGGCCAAAAGAAUUUGGAG